RNAcentral lists this ribosomal RNA (742 nucleotides) under Paenibacillus rigui. RNAcentral's name for it is "bacterial SSU rRNA". It matches the Rfam family "Bacterial small subunit ribosomal RNA", at positions 9 to 748 of the family's 1533-position model. The record is from RNAcentral. Lineage: Bacteria; Bacillati; Bacillota; Bacilli; Caryophanales; Paenibacillaceae.
GAGUUUNNNNNCUGGCUCAGGACGAACGCUGGCGGCGUGCCUAAUACAUGCAAGUCGAGCGGUCCCUUCGGGGAUAGCGGCGGACGGGUGAGUAACACGUAGGCAACCUGCCUGUAAGAUUGGGAUAACUAUCGGAAACGAUAGCUAAGACCAGAUAACUGGUUCUCUCGCAUGAGGGAAUCAUGAAACACGGGGUAACCUGUGGCUUACAGAUGGGCCUGCGGCGCAUUAGCUAGUUGGUAGGGUAACGGCCUACCAAGGCGACGAUGCGUAGCCGACCUGAGAGGGUGAUCGGCCACACUGGGACUGAGACACGGCCCAGACUCCUACGGGAGGCAGCAGUAGGGAAUCUUCCGCAAUGGACGCAAGUCUGACGGAGCAACGCCGCGUGAGUGAUGAAGGUUUUCGGAUCGUAAAGCUCUGUUGCCAGGGAAGAACGCCUAGGAGAGUAACUGCUCUUAGGGUGACGGUACCUGAGAAGAAAGCCCCGGCUAACUACGUGCCAGCAGCCGCGGUAAUACGUAGGGGGCAAGCGUUGUCCGGAAUUAUUGGGCGUAAAGCGCGCGCAGGCGGUCAUUUAAGUUUGGUGUUUAAGCCCGGGGCUCAACCCCGGAUCGCACUGAAAACUGGGUGACUUGAGUGCGGGAGAGGAAAGUGGAAUUCCACGUGUAGCGGUGAAAUGCGUAGAGAUGUGGAGGAACACCAGUGGCGAAGGCGACUUUCUGGACCGUAACNGACGNNA